RNAcentral lists this small RNA (970 nucleotides) under Mycoplasmopsis agassizii. Its description in RNAcentral is "bacterial LSU rRNA". The stretch from base 474 to 970 matches the Rfam family "Bacterial large subunit ribosomal RNA", at positions 1 to 497 of the family's 2925-position model. The record is from RNAcentral. Lineage: Bacteria; Bacillati; Mycoplasmatota; Mycoplasmoidales; Metamycoplasmataceae.
CGCCCGUCACACCAUGGGAGCCGGUAAUGCCCAAAGUCGGUUUAGCUAACUUCGGAAGCGACUGCCUAAGGCAGGAUUGGUGACUGGGGUGAAGUCGUAACAAGGUAUCCCUACGAGAACGUGGGGAUGGAUCACCUCCUUUCUACGGAGUACAAUUACACUUUAUUUUUGGUAAAAAUCUUAUAAGUACUAGUUUUAAAUUAAUUAAAUUUUUAAAACAUCACGAUGUCUUAUGAGUCUUGUGUGUUGGUGUAGCCAAAAGCACUCUAAUAUUCAGUUUUGAGAGUAUUUACUCUCUAAAUUAAUAGAUCUUUGAAAACUGAAUAGCAUAUAAAUUAAUAUGAUAACGACAUCAAAAUAUAUUUUGUGAAAAUAAUUUUGAUCCGAGUUAAGACCAAUUAUUGGUCUUUAUAAAUACCUUAAGAAUACAUCAAAAAACAUUUUUUUUAAUAGGAAAAAAUAGUUACUUAAACUUUUAAAUAAGCAAGAGUUUGUAGUGGAUGCCUUGGGUCUGGAAGUCGAUGAAGGACGUGAUUACCUGCGAUAAGCUUCGGUUAGUUGGAAAUAAACUAUGAGCCGGAGAUCUCCGAAUGAGGAAACUCGAUACAAGUAAUGUUGUAUCACUCCCCUUUGAAUAUAUAGAAGGGAAAGAGACAUACGUUGUGAACUGAAACAUCUUAUUAGCAACAGGAAAAGAAAAUAAAUAAUGAUUCCGUCAGUAGUGGCGAGCGAACGCGGAAGAGCCCAAACCACAUUUUGUGGGGUUGUAGGACUGCUCACAUAGAGUUACAAAAUAUUUAUAUAGAAGAAUAAACUGGAAAGUUUGGCCAAAGAGGGUGAUAGCCCCGUAUUCGAAAUAUAAAUAUCUCUUAGCAGGAUCCUGAGUAGGGCGGGGCACGUGAGACCCUGUCUGAAUCCGCCGGGACCACCCGGUAAGGCUAAAUACUAACCAGACACCGAUAGUGAACUA